AGCCCAAGAGAGACCUUGUUCUGGGGAUCAGUUGACCUUAAAGGCUUCUCAAGAAGCCGGUGGACCAAAAGAUCAGGGUGCCAAAAGAUUUCCACCUUGGAGGAAUCGCCCAAUUUUUUGAAGCUCACAUUCCUGGUUGCUUCUCAAAUCUCACCAAAUAUUUGGAGAGUAGAAAUCCAGUGCUUUUCCUUGUGUUCCUGUUUGGAAGAUUAUUUCUCCCCCAUCCCCAAGCCAGUUAUGGUAAAAGAAUGUGAAAGUUUAGCUGAUCAUGAAAAGCUCAGAGAUGCACGGGAACAAGGGGGAGCGGCACCCCAGGGCUACUACUUAAAAUGUCAGGUGUGGAAAGUAAUGAGUCUUUGCUUAGUAGGAACCCAGCAGAAGGAGUCGUCAUGGUCCACUUGUCAGGUUAUUUUUUAAGAAAAACAUCAAUGAAUAAAUUUUCUUAGUCAGCUAAAGAAUGGAUUUGUUGAGUGCCUCAAACUUACAAGAACGUAAGCAUCUCUUGAGUCUUACGCAUGGCAAAAGAAGGACUGUGGGUAUGGUUAGCGUGUGGGGCCCGAGUCUCCAGGGAUGCUAGAGGACAAAGUCACUGCAAUCUUCCCAAGACCUAUAACAUCACACUGUGACCUGAGGCAAGGAUGCUAGAAGACCCCAUAGCCAGUUCUUCAUUUUGCAGUGGACUUGAAUGAAAUGAUGAUAAUUAUUGAUCCAGCAAACUAUAACGGCUUCCCCUUAGUCUCUGGGGACUGUUGUGCAAAUGUGUACUUAGGGACUCUUAAAUACUGCUUAUUAAUGGUUUGACAGGCCAUAACUGCUUUGAAGGAGCCAUUAAAGACCAUGGUAUAAAUCCUUUUGGGUUUUCUCUUAUUUAACUCAACCUGUCAGAGACUGCCACAUGCCUGUAUUGGAACAGGCUGCUGAAAGUAGUAAGUGAUGCUCUUAACUUCUGAACAAUACAUUCAUGGUAUCCAAAGCAAACUGGCAAUUUCUUCUGAAAUUCAUUGAUUCUUCUACUUUUUUUUCCUUUAAUGUAUUGAAUCCAUUCUCCUGAACAUUUUAAAAUAGCAUGUAUAACUCAUUAGCUACUUUAAUUAUCU
RNAcentral lists this long non-coding RNA (1097 nucleotides) under Macaca mulatta (Rhesus monkey). RNAcentral's name for it is "lncRNA (ENSMMUG00000056106.1)". Lineage: Eukaryota; Metazoa; Chordata; Mammalia; Primates; Cercopithecidae. The record is from RNAcentral.